GGGUUGUGAGGUUAAGCGACUAAGCGUACACGGUGGAUGCCCUGGCAGUCAGAGGCGAUGAAGGGCGUGCUAAUCUGCGAUAAGCGCCGGUAAGGUGAUAUGAACCGUUAUAACCGGCGAUACCCGAAUGGGGAAACCCAGUGUGACUCGUCACACUAUCAUUAACUGAAUCCAUAGGUUAAUGAGGCGAACCGGGGGAACUGAAACAUCUAAGUACCCCGAGGAAAAGAAAUCAACCGAGAUUCCCCCAGUAGCGGCGAGCGAACGGGGAGGAGCCCAGAGCCUGAAUCAGCAUGUGUGUUAGUGGAAGCGUCUGGAAAGGCGCGCGAUACAGGGUGACAGCCCCGUACACAAAAGCGCAUGUGCUGUGAGCUCGAUGAGUAGGGCGGGACACGUGGUAUCCUGUCUGAAUAUGGGGGGACCAUCCUCCAAGGCUAAAUACUCCUGACUGACCGAUAGUGAACCAGUACCGUGAGGGAAAGGCGAAAAGAACCCCGGCGAGGGGAGUGAAAAAGAACCUGAAACCGUGUACGUACAAGCAGUGGGAGCACAGGUUUACCUGUGUGACUGCGUACCUUUUGUAUAAUGGGUCAGCGACUUAUAUUCUGUAGCAAGGUUAACCGUAUAGGGGAGCCGUAGGGAAACCGAGUCUUAACCGGGCGUUAAGUUGCAGGGUAUAGACCCGAAACCCGGUGAUCUAGCCAUGGGCAGGUUGAAGGUUGGGUAACACUAACUGGAGGACCGAACCGACUAAUGUUGAAAAAUUAGCGGAUGACCUGUGGCUGGGGGUGAAAGGCCAAUCAAACCGGGAGAUAGCUGGUUCUCCCCGAAAGCUAUUUAGGUAGCGCCUCGUGAAUUCAUCUCCGGGGGUAGAGCACUGUUUCGGCUAGGGGGCCAUCCCGGCUUACCAACCCGAUGCAAACUGCGAAUACCGGAGAAUGUUAUCACGGGAGACACACGGCGGGUGCUAACGUCCGUCGUGAAGAGGGAAACAACCCAGACCGCCAGCUAAGGUCCCAAAGUCAUGGUUAAGUGGGAAACGAUGUGGGAAGGCCCAGACAGCCAGGAUGUUGGCUUAGAAGCAGCCAUCAUUUAAAGAAAGCGUAAUAGCUCACUGGUCGAGUCGGCCUGCGCGGAAGAUGUAACGGGGCUAAACCAUGCACCGAAGCUGCGGCAGCGACACUAUGUGUUGUUGGGUAGGGGAGCGUUCUGUAAGCCUGUGAAGGUGGCCUGUGAGGGUUGCUGGAGGUAUCAGAAGUGCGAAUGCUGACAUAAGUAACGAUAAAGCGGGUGAAAAGCCCGCUCGCCGGAAGACCAAGGGUUCCUGUCCAACGUUAAUCGGGGCAGGGUGAGUCGACCCCUAAGGCGAGGCCGAAAGGCGUAGUCGAUGGGAAACGGGUUAAUAUUCCCGUACUUGGUGUUACUGCGAAGGGGGGACGGAGAAGGCUAUGUUGGCCGGGCGACGGUUGUCCCGGUUUAAGCGUGUAGGUGUGUGUUCCAGGUAAAUCCGGUUCACUUUAACACUGAGGCGUGACGACGAGGCACUACGGUGCUGAAGCAACAAAUGCCCUGCUUCCAGGAAAAGCCUCUAAGCAUCAGGUAACAUCAAAUCGUACCCCAAACCGACACAGGUGGUCAGGUAGAGAAUACCAAGGCGCUUGAGAGAACUCGGGUGAAGGAACUAGGCAAAAUGGUGCCGUAACUUCGGGAGAAGGCACGCUGACACGUAGGUGAAGUGAUUUACUCAUGGAGCUGAAGUCAGUCGAAGAUACCAGCUGGCUGCAACUGUUUAUUAAAAACACAGCACUGUGCAAACACGAAAGUGGACGUAUACGGUGUGACGCCUGCCCGGUGCCGGAAGGUUAAUUGAUGGGGUCAGCGCAAGCGAAGCUCCUGAUCGAAGCCCCGGUAAACGGCGGCCGUAACUAUAACGGUCCUAAGGUAGCGAAAUUCCUUGUCGGGUAAGUUCCGACCUGCACGAAUGGCGUAAUGAUGGCCAGGCUGUCUCCACCCGAGACUCAGUGAAAUUGAACUCGCUGUGAAGAUGCAGUGUACCCGCGGCAAGACGGAAAGACCCCGUGAACCUUUACUAUAGCUUGACACUGAACAUUGAGCCUUGAUGUGUAGGAUAGGUGGGAGGCUUUGAAGUGUGGACGCCAGUCUGCAUGGAGCCGGCCUUGAAAUACCACCCUUUAAUGUUUGAUGUUCUAACGUGGACCCGUGAUCCGGGUUGCGGACAGUGUCUGGUGGGUAGUUUGACUGGGGCGGUCUCCUCCUAAAGAGUAACGGAGGAGCACGAAGGUUGGCUAAUCCUGGUCGGACAUCAGGAGGUUAGUGCAAUGGCAUAAGCCAGCUUGACUGCGAGCGUGACGGCGCGAGCAGGUGCGAAAGCAGGUCAUAGUGAUCCGGUGGUUCUGAAUGGAAGGGCCAUCGCUCAACGGAUAAAAGGUACUCCGGGGAUAACAGGCUGAUACCGCCCAAGAGUUCAUAUCGACGGCGGUGUUUGGCACCUCGAUGUCGGCUCAUCACAUCCUGGGGCUGAAGUAGGUCCCAAGGGUAUGGCUGUUCGCCAUUUAAAGUGGUACGCGAGCUGGGUUUAGAACGUCGUGAGACAGUUCGGUCCCUAUCUGCCGUGGGCGCUGGAGAACUGAGGGGGGGCUGCUCCUAGUACGAGAGGACCGGAGUGGACGCAUCACUGGUGUUCGGGUUGUCAUGCCAAUGGCACUGCCCGGUAGCUAAAUGCGGAAGAGAUAAGUGCUGAAAGCAUCUAAGCACGAAACUUGCCCCGAGAUGAGUUCUCCCUGAGACUACGAGUCUCCUGAAGGAACGUUGAAGACGACGACGUUGAUAGGCCGGGUGUGUAAGCGCAGCGAUGCGUUGAGCUAACCGGUACUAAUGAACCGUGAGGCUUAACCUUACAACGCCGAAG
Molecule: ribosomal RNA, 2929 nt
Filed under: Salmonella enterica subsp. enterica serovar Mikawasima
Lineage: Bacteria; Pseudomonadati; Pseudomonadota; Gammaproteobacteria; Enterobacterales; Enterobacteriaceae
Description: 23S ribosomal RNA
Rfam family: Bacterial large subunit ribosomal RNA
Source: RNAcentral